This 2495-nucleotide long non-coding RNA is filed under the name Carica papaya (papaya). Its description in RNAcentral is "long non-coding RNA (CPAP_LNC010866)". Lineage: Eukaryota; Viridiplantae; Streptophyta; Magnoliopsida; Brassicales; Caricaceae. The record is from RNAcentral.
GAAAUUCUAAAUAUAUAAAAUAUUUAAGUAAAUAUCAACAUGUGUUAAACUAAACUCAGAUGUAUAUUCCGUGUGCAUGUAAAAUAAACAAGGGGAAUAUAGUAGGAUUAACAAAAAUAAGGAAGGACUUAAACAGAAAAUUAAUCAAACAGGGGCAGAACUAUACACCUUGAAAAGCUAACACAUCAGCAAGCCACUCUGUGGGGGAAACCAAUUAGGAAUCGCCAUGCAUGUUGAGCAACGUCAGAAUGCGUCGUCAGAGAGAGGAAGGGUUUAGAUGAAGCCAAGUAAUGCUGACCGGGCACCUCGGACGAUGCAAAUUGAAACACUUCGAAAAGAAUAACUGAGAUGGUGCAAAUAUUUUAUUUUUACCCCAAUAUAAAAAGAAGGGGGCCUGCAGUCCAGAGGGGGAGAAAAGAGGAAACAAGAUUUAAAAAUAGCUAGGCUGAUCGAGAGAAGAACGGGAGGAAGAGUAGGAAGAAAAAGGGGAACUGGUGGUGCUAUGUUAUAGCAUCGCCAAGAAGGAUUUGAGAGAGAGUCAGCACUGCAAGUGAACGACCACGCGGAGACAAGAGGUAAGUCAUAUUUGAGUUUUAAACCCGAAAUUAAAAUUCGUAGUUGGAGAAAAUAUUGUAGAUCUUAUUCUAUGUUUGAAUUUAGAGUUGGUAAAGAGUGAAAAAAAAAUAGUUUUUGUCCUGAUAAGAAAUAAUCGUUUAAUAAUUCCUAAGUUGAUAGAGUAGGAAAAGAGAUUUCUUCAGAAAAAUUUUAAGAAACAUAUUUAAGGAGAGAACAUAAUUUUGUUCGAGUAGAGAGAACUGGUAGACAUAGAUGAGUUAUUAAUAGAGGAAAACUUUGGGAAUAACAUGGGAAGGCCAACCGAGACAAGGAGUGAGGUUCUUGAGGAUAUAUCAAAAUAAAAAGGAAAAUAGGGUCAUCUUAGAGAAAUAUACAAGUGGGACAUGGGCUGUUGGGUUUGAACUGGAGGACCUAAAAGUGUGGUGGUGGAAAACACCAAAUGAUGGGUCUUACUAAGUGGUAUAAAGUAUCGAGUAUACCUUAAACCUACUUUGGUAAUAGUGUGUGUGCGUGGCCACCGGGUGGUCGGACAUUGCAUGAUGUUUGUGUGCAUACAUUUCUUUUUAUUUUUUUAAUAUCAUUUACUAAUCGAUUUUUAUAAACGUGCUCUGGUGUGACCCAUUAAAUUAGGUCGAAUAUGGUAUGACUGUCACCAUGGACAGUGGUGAAAUGAAUUGAGUCCUUGGAAGGACAUUUACUGCUUUAUUUUCCCUUACUAUGCAUUGUUAGUUGUUUACCAUGCAUAUGUAAAUAUGUUUUGGUGUGGCCUACUGAAUUAGUUCGAAUAUAGUAUGAGUGUCACCUUAGACAGUGGUGAAUUGGAUGAGUCCCUAGGAGGACGUUUACUGUUUUAUUUUUUUUUUUUUACAUGCAUCACUUAGUUGUUUAAACAAUGACUGUGUGGUGUAUUUGUGAGGGAAAAUAAAGUUAUAUAGAGGAGUAUAAUAAAAUAUUUUUUGUGCUGACAUUUCUUAUGUGUAUUAAUUAUGGUUAUUGAGGAAUAAUGGAGUGAAGGAGUAUUGUGGGACAUUAAGAUGAAAGAGAAGAAUGCAUAGAAUUAUAUUCUAAUUUAUUUUUGUUUAGUUAUCUAUGAUAUAAUGAAUGAAAGAGUUCUGCUAGAAGAGGUUAGAGAUGUAGGAAGUUGUUUAUUAUUUUUUAAAAAAAUUAUUCUUCUUGGCAGUGGUUAAAUGAAUGAAGUUGCUGUUAUGAAAAGUUGGAGCUAAUAAAUAGGUGAUGAAAUUAUAAUAAUUUAUCUUUAUUUUUUUUGUUGUAUUAAUUUUAUUUUUGGGAUAACGGUUGAAUAGGGGUCAUUUCAAGGUGAACCAUUGUGAGAAAAGAGGUCAUAGCUUGAUGAUUACAGAAUAGUUUUUACAAAUAUAUCCUGGAGUGAAUAAGGCUAUAAAAAGAAGAAGCAUAGUAAAAACAGAAUGGAUGAAUGGAUAAAACUAAAGGAGUGUCGCAGCUAGUUAAAGGAAAAAUAAUGAGGGUGGAUGGAUCUAGUUGAGUUAAACAGAAAGGGGUGAAGUUGUAAGAAUAAGAGAUGACAAACUUUAAGGAGAUUGGCAUAGUCGGAUAUGAAGAAAUUGGGAGAUGAAGUCUACGUAUUUCAGUUCGUUUGGUUUUAAAUUCAAGUCUUGUUUACUAGACUCGUAUAGCUCAUUAUUAUUUUAUUUCAGAUCCGGUGAAGCAGAAACAAGGCCAAAAUAUGAAAGGAAAUGAAUUCUCUACAUAGGAGCAUUUAAUGGAGAUAAUUGGUCUAACUCAGUCUUAAAAAUAUUACACACACAGCACUAUAGAAAUUUAUAUUGUAUCUUCUUACUUGCAUCAUUAUAUUUACUCUAUAGAAAAAAUGAUUUGACACGUACAUGUGUAAUAAACAACGGAUUAUAUAUACAUAAAUACUUAUUGUGAAUUGGGAC